CACACUGGUCACUGCAUACCACAAAAGGUCCAGACUCCUACGGGAGGCAGCAGUGGGGAAUAUUGGACAAUGGGGGAAACCCUGAUCCAGCAAUGCCGCGUGUGUGAAGAAGGUCUUCGGAUUGUAAAGCACUUUUGGCAGGGACGAUGAUGACGGUACCUGCAGAAUAAGCCCCGGCUAACUUCGUGCCAGCAGCCGCGGUAAUACGAAGGGGGCUAGCGUUGCUCGGAAUGACUGGGCGUAAAGGGCGCGUAGGCGGCAUAGACAGUCAGAAGUGAAAUUCCUGGGCUCAACCUGGGGACUGCUUUUGAUACGUCUAAGCUAGAGUGGAGAAGAGGGUUGUGGAAUUUCCAGUGUAAGGUGAAAUU
This 368-nucleotide ribosomal RNA is filed under the name uncultured bacterium. RNAcentral describes it as "bacterial SSU rRNA". It matches the Rfam family "Bacterial small subunit ribosomal RNA", at positions 309 to 688 of the family's 1533-position model. The record is from RNAcentral.